Long non-coding RNA from Lagenorhynchus albirostris (white-beaked dolphin), 383 nucleotides. RefSeq lists it as uncharacterized. The record is from RefSeq and is a predicted model, not a curated record. The transcript has 3 exons. NCBI's taxonomy places the organism in Eukaryota, Metazoa, Chordata, Mammalia, Artiodactyla, Delphinidae.
UGCCUGCUCUCAAGAUGUCAUUAUCAGGAGACUACAAUUCUCCUCAGAAGAUGCUUUAAUGGAAAUCAUCAUCUCCUCUUCAGUCAUUCCAAGAGCAUCCACUUUGAUGUGGUUGAGAAAUAUCGUGAAGGUGAUUCUGUGUUCAACUCUAGCCACAGCUCAGCGGCUUGGAAAACUGUCUCCUCAUUCUCCACAGGUCCAUGUGAUCUUCUCUGCAGCAUUCAGAACCAAGGCUGCCGCAUCCACUAUCCUAGGUCAUCCUGGGUUCUUUAGGUACCAAAAUGGACUUUGGAGAAAAACAGAACCAACAGGAGAAUGAGAACUUUCCUGUGCUACCAAAUAUUUUGGGAGAACAUGACUUUUAACUGAUUCUAUAAUACAUG